CAGGCUUAACACAUGCAAGUCGAACGAUAUAGUGGCAGACGGGUGAGUAACGCGUGGGAACGUACCUUUCACUACGGAAUAGCUCUUGGAAACGAGUGGUAAUACCGUAUACCCCUUCGGGGGAAAGAUUUAUCGGUGAAAGAUCGGCCCGCGUUAGAUUAGCUAGUUGGUAGGGUAAUGGCCUACCAAGGCGACGAUCUAUAGCUGGUCUGAGAGGAUGAUCAGCCACACUGGGACUGAGACACGGCCCAGACUCUACGGGAGGCAGCAGUGGGGAAUCUUGCACAAUGGGCGAAAGCCUGAUGCAGCCAUGCCGCGUGAAUGAUGAAGGCCUUAGGGUUGUAAAAUUCUUUCGCUAGGGAUGAUAAUGACAGUACCUAGUAAAGAAGCCCCGGCUAACUUCGUGCCAGCAGCCGCGGUAAUACGAAGGGGGCUAGCGUUGUUCGGAAUUACUGGGCGUAAAGCGCACGUAGGCGGACUMUUAAGUCAGAUGUGAAAUCCCGGGGCUCAACCUCGGAACMGCAUYUGAAACUSGAAGUCUAGAGACCRGGAGAGGUUAGCGGAAUACCGAGUGUAGAGGUGAAAUUCGUAGAUAUUCGGUGGAACACCAGUGGCGAAGGCGGCUKACUGGA
RNAcentral lists this ribosomal RNA (632 nucleotides) under marine bacterium HP13. Its description in RNAcentral is "bacterial SSU rRNA". It matches the Rfam family "Bacterial small subunit ribosomal RNA", at positions 43 to 733 of the family's 1533-position model. The record is from RNAcentral. Lineage: Bacteria; Pseudomonadati; Pseudomonadota; Alphaproteobacteria; Rhodobacterales; Paracoccaceae.